GUCAGGGAAUUACGAGCAAAGCUUAAAACCCAAAGGACUUGACGGUACCCCACAUCCCCCUAGAGGAGCCUGUCCUAUAAUCGAUAAUCCCCGUUUAACCUCACCACACCUAGCUUAUCAGCCUGUAUACUUCCGUCGCAAGCCUACCACAUGAGCGAAGCUUAGUUAGCCCAAUGUCCACACAUAAAUGUGCUAUCGACAAUACGUCAGGUCAAAGUGCAGCAAACGCUGUGGGAUGAGAUUGGCUACACUUUUUAAUCUAAAAGAAACGGAAAACAAUAAUGAAAUUUUGUCAGAAGGUGGAUUUAGCAGUAAAAGAAAAUUACAAAAUCUCUUUUAACUCGGCACUGGGGUGUGU
This 358-nucleotide ribosomal RNA is filed under the name Eleutherodactylus guanahacabibes (Guanahacabibes robber frog). RNAcentral's name for it is "partial 12S ribosomal RNA". It matches the Rfam family "Bacterial small subunit ribosomal RNA", at positions 871 to 1384 of the family's 1533-position model. Lineage: Eukaryota; Metazoa; Chordata; Amphibia; Anura; Eleutherodactylidae. The record is from RNAcentral.